GACUUCGAUAACGACAAUCACGACGACUUUUACAACAAUAGGAGAUAUGCAUGCAUACGCAUAGCGUAAGUGCGUUUUUUUGUCAAUUUGAUCAACCCGACCAUCUUCGUGAUAGGUUUCGAACCUAUCAAAUUUGACAUUAAAUCGUCACUUCCGCCCUGCGUAUGCAUCGCUAAUCUCUAAAUCGUGUGGCCAUCUUCGCGAUAGGCUCGAUAUGGUCAAAAUGAUUGAUUGAACCGGAUAUUUUACUGCGUAAACCGUGCGGCCAUCUUCGCAAUAGGCUCGACAUGGUCAAAAUGGGUGAUCGAGCAUCGUUCAUUUACUGCGUAAAUCGUGCGGCCAUCUUCGUGAUAGGCUCGACAUGAUCAAACCCGCGUACUUGAACAAAACGUGAUAGAAAAUAUACAAUAAUAAAAUAAUAAUAAAAGAAUAGACGAGAACUAUUUUGAUUCGUCAUCUUCAUUCGAUUCGAUCGUAUUGCUCGACGUGAUAAAUUUCGUAUAUUAAAAAAAAAAGAGACGAAAUUUCAUAUAUUUGGACAAAUUUAAAAAAAAAA
RNAcentral lists this long non-coding RNA (556 nucleotides) under Ananas comosus (pineapple). RNAcentral's name for it is "long non-coding RNA (ACOM_LNC043233)". The record is from RNAcentral. Lineage: Eukaryota; Viridiplantae; Streptophyta; Magnoliopsida; Poales; Bromeliaceae.